CAGCCGCCACGGGAAUACGGAGGGCGCGAGCGUUACCUGGAUUUACUGGGCGUAAAGGGCGUGUAGGCGGCCUGGGGCGUCCCAUGUGAAAGGCCACGGCUCAACCGUGGAGGAGCGUGGGAUACGCUCAGGCUAGAGGGUGGGAGAGGGUGGUGGAAUUCCCGGAGUAGCGGUGAAAUGCGCAGAUACCGGGAGGAACGCCGAUGGCGAAGGCAGCCCCCUGGGCCAAUACUGACGCUCAUGCACGAAAGCGUGGGGAGCAAACAGGAUUAGAUACCCGCGUAGUCCCUGUCUCUUAUAC
Molecule: ribosomal RNA, 301 nt
Filed under: uncultured bacterium
Lineage: Bacteria
Description: partial 16S ribosomal RNA
Rfam family: Bacterial small subunit ribosomal RNA
Source: RNAcentral